Molecule: long non-coding RNA, 693 nt
Organism: Gorilla gorilla gorilla (western lowland gorilla)
Lineage: Eukaryota; Metazoa; Chordata; Mammalia; Primates; Hominidae
Exons: 3
Source: RefSeq, a predicted model, not a curated record
AGUAUGGAGCUGACAAACAUUCUCUUUCCUUCUCCUCCUCCUCUUCCUCCUCAUUCUGUUGAAUUGCUGGUUUCUGUAGUCUAUUAGGCUUCUUAUUAAUAGUAAUAAAAUGUUCAUUCAUUAACUCUCUCAUGCCUGCAUACCAGCUAUAGUCACUGUCUUUGCCCCCAAGUUAUGCAGUCUUUAUAAAGUUGUUCAGUAGCAGGGAAAUGAGUUGGGAAAACUGAUAUUGCAUCUGUAGCAUCAGGUACUAUUUAACCAGUGGGAGGGACUGAUAAAAUUAGCAAGUUGACUAACCACUUCCCUUCCUUGUGGCUCUUUAAUAUUAUAACGGAUACAGAAAAGUUCAGAAGGACUGAGCUAGUUUGCGAAACCACAGCACACUUUGCUAAAGAGGGAAUGCACAACAAAACGGAAAUGAGGUCUUACUGUGUUGCCCAGGCUGGUAUCAAACUCCAGUGAUCAAGUGAUCCUCCUACCUCAGCCUCCCAAACAGAUAUGACAGCUGCAUAGAUUCAACCUACUAUGAAAAGCCAAAACAUGGAAUAUUACACUAAUUAAAACGGUUACACAACAGAACAUGGAAUGUGCGACACUUCAUCUUGGGAUGCAAAUUUUUGUGCUAAAAAAAACUGAGAAAAACAAAAAGAAAAACAUGUAUUUCUGAGGAACUUGUUUUUAUAUCUGGCAUAA